Molecule: ribosomal RNA, 466 nt
Filed under: uncultured bacterium
Lineage: Bacteria
Description: bacterial SSU rRNA
Rfam family: Bacterial small subunit ribosomal RNA
Source: RNAcentral
UCCAGACUCCUACGGGAGGCAGCAGUGAGGAAUAUUGGUCAAUGGCCGCAGGGCUGAACCAGCCAAGUCGCGUGAGGGAUGACGGUCCUAUGGAUUGUAAACCUCUUUUGUCAGGGAGCAAAGGGCGCCACGUGUGGCGUUUUGCGAGUACCUGAAGAAAAAGCAUCGGCUAACUCCGUGCCAGCAGCCGCGGUAAUACGGAGGAUGCGAGCGUUAUCCGGAUUUAUUGGGUUUAAAGGGUGCGCAGGCGGGCUGUUAAGCCGGCGGUAAAAAUUCAGGGCUCAACCCUGUCGAGCCGUCGGAACUGGCAGUCUUGAGUGGGCGAGAAGUAUGCGGAAUGCGUGGUGUAGCGGUGAAAUGCAUAGAUAUCACGCAGAACGCCGAUUGCGAGGGCAGCAUACCGGCGCCCAACUGACGCUGAGGCACGAAAGCGUGGGGAUCGAACAGGAUUAGAUACCCGCGUAGG